AGCGAACGCUGGCGGCGUGCUUAACACAUGCAAGUCGAGCGAGAAAGGGGGCUUCGGCCCCUGAGUACAGCGGCGAACGGGUGCGUAAUGCAUGAGCAAUCUACCCUUGAGGCGGGAAUAACCCAGCGAAAGUUGGGCUAAUACCGGAUAAGACCACAAGAGGAGACCCCUAGAGGCUAAAGGCAGCUCUCUUUUGGGGGCGGCCCUUUGAGGAGGAGCUCAUGUCCUANCAGCUAGUUGGUAGGGUAACGGCCUACCAAGGCGAAGACGGGUAGCUGGUCUUAGAGGAUGAUCAGCCACACGGGGACUGAGACACGGCCCCGACUCCUACGGGAGGCAGCAGUGGGGAAUAUUGGGCAAUGGGGGAAACCCUGACCCAGCGACGCCGCGUGGGUGAUGAAGG
RNAcentral lists this ribosomal RNA (403 nucleotides) under uncultured bacterium. RNAcentral describes it as "bacterial SSU rRNA". It matches the Rfam family "Bacterial small subunit ribosomal RNA", at positions 30 to 414 of the family's 1533-position model. The record is from RNAcentral.